RNAcentral lists this long non-coding RNA (1548 nucleotides) under Vigna radiata. RNAcentral describes it as "long non-coding RNA (VRAD_LNC014968)". Lineage: Eukaryota; Viridiplantae; Streptophyta; Magnoliopsida; Fabales; Fabaceae. The record is from RNAcentral.
AUGGGUGGUUAAGGGGUGGAAAGGUUUAGGAUUGAUUUUAUUUAACUGGAUAAUUUUAAGUUAGUAAGGUUGAUUACAAACUUGGUGAGAGAGUGGAAAAGAAAGAGAGAAAGUCGUAAGUUGAGUGGAGAGAAACAUUUCUAUGUGAGAAACAACCAAGUGGUGAGACAAAGAAAGUGGUCACCCUAGCCUUGGAGUCUUGGACGUCACUUGUAGGAGAUCAAGAAGAGUGAAAGCUUGUUGUCUAGUGAGGAAAGAAACGUAAGAGCCUUUGGAAGCUUGCUUGGAACUAGAGGUAAGGGGUUUAACUUGGGACAUAAUAUGGUGUAUGAUGGGUAGAAGGUAACAUGAUAAUGUUGAUGCAUGCUUUCUUUCUUUUAUGUUGAGAUUAAAGUUAACAUGUUGAUGCAUGCUCUCUCUUUUUGUGUUUAGUUUCAUGUGUUGUUGUAUGGAGAAUGAUUAUUUUCAUGCAUUUUCAAAAUUGGGUUGUGAAGGGGUAUACUUUGCAUGAAUUAUAUAUAUUAUGGGGCACUUAUCUACACUCUUUGACCAAGAGUGUGGGUAGGAGGGUAUUGAGAGUACUCUUCCAUUGUUGCAAGAGAAAAGAGUGAGUUAUGAGUAUGAGAGGAGUGAAAGUGAUGUUUUUGUGAGAUGGGGUAUAUGGGGUUGAUGAAAGUAGUGAAGAAAGAAGAAGCUUGGUGUCAUUGGAGGAAGAAGAACAUGAAGGAAGAAUUAUGGAAGUGGAAGGAGGAGAUGGGCACACUAUAAAUCACAUAGCAAAGGCAAGGAGAAAAGAGAAGAGUCUUAUGUUGGAGUUGAGAAGGAAAACCAAAGAGAAGAGGAAGGGACGUAAGGGUUGAAGGAAGAAGAAAUAAACAAAAAAAAAGCAUGAAGGGGGGAGAGUCUCGGUUAAUGUGGGGAGUUGGAGAAGAGUAGAAGAAAGGUGCUUUAUGGGUUUUAGUUGAGAAAGAAAAACUGAAAGAGUCAAAGAAGGUGUGUGUGUAUGUGUUUGUCGUGAGUUGAGUGGGAGAAAGGUGAGUUAGAAAGGAUGUUUAAAAGUCAAAGGGGAAUGAAAAAUGAAAUUUAGAAGAGUGUGUGUUGGGUUACGUAAUGGUUAGAAAAAGAAAAAGGUAAAGAGAAGAAAGAGAAUGGAGUAUUGUUUUUGUGUUGCAAAAGGAAAAAAAAGUGAGAAUGCAUGGGAUGUGUGUUACAUAGAAUGAAGAGGAAAUCAAAAUGAAAUAAGGUGUGAGAGUAGUGUGGGACCAUAAGCUUUAACGAAGGAGAGAGAAAAAAAGAAAGAUAGUGUAGGUAUGGAGAGUAUAUUGUUACCAAUGAGGAGCAUUGGUAAAUCUUGAAGUAAAUGGUUUUGAUGAUGCUGCAAGAAGUUUAACCUAAAGAAGUCAUUAGAGAAUUUCUUUUAAAAGCACUUUUAGAAUAUAAAUGUAUUAGGAAUGUCUUUAAAUAUGUAAAACUUGUAUUUUUGGUACUGUUCUGGAAUAAUCGAUUAUGAGGAGCAAUAAUCGAUUAACAUGAGCUUUUCUGAAAAAC